Long non-coding RNA from Centropristis striata (black sea bass), 1686 nucleotides. RefSeq lists it as uncharacterized. NCBI's taxonomy places the organism in Eukaryota, Metazoa, Chordata, Actinopteri, Perciformes, Serranidae. The record is from RefSeq and is a predicted model, not a curated record. The transcript has 3 exons.
CUCAUUUCAGAGGGUAAACAUGAUGUAUUUUAUCAUUGUUCAUGUUGUUUUGUCAUUUCUUAUCAUAUUCAACAACACAUAUCUCUCUCUCUCUGUAGCUGUGGAUGGAGAUAUUAAUGUUGAUUCUGAUUCUCUUUUAGCUACAGGGCUUUUGAAUAGAACAGAGAGCUGCAGCCAAAAUGUUUUUAAUGUUUUUAUUAUAAUUUAGAUUCAGAGGAUGUGGCUGAAGGUAUCGACACCUUACAUCCCUCUCUCUCUCCUUGGUGGAGGAUCAUCAUUGUGCUUGUGGGUUUAGCAGCUCUCAUAGCAGCUGUUGUGCUGAUCAACAUAUGGAUAAGAACUAAAGGGAACCAAACACAGAGAGCAGACAAUACUGUGCUGAAUGAUGAGGAUGAAGAUGAAGGUACAGUGAAGUAUGAAAGCGUUGGAGAACCUUCUGCUUCUAUCAGACUCCACUGACCAACAACUUCAACAUCAGCAUGAAGUCGUAAAAGAAACGCAUCACAUAAUUUGAAGUGCUUUGCUAGAUAAUGCCAAACUUCUCUUUCAGAUUUAAACAUUUUCUAUUCAGCACUGACAGCUACGCCAUUGUUAAACUAUUAAGUCUUGAUUCGUAAAGAUAAACAGAUUGUUGUUUUUAUCAUUAUCAUUUACAUGUUAUAGUUCUUCUUUAAACACAUAGGCUACAAACAUGUUCAUUGGAAGUCUAAUAUGUUUCAUACGAUUUUUCUUGUUAGAAUUAUAUAAUCUGCUAAUUAAAAAGUGCUUGAUAACCACUAAUGCAUUGUGUUAUUUUGUAUAAAUGUAUCGCACAUUAUACUAUUAAAUAGUUAUAGAUAUUCUUUCCUAAACUCUGCAUGAAUAAAUUAUAUGGAAACAGAAUGUUACUAACCAGCAGAGAAGUAACCUGUUACUGUUCCUGUUAGUGAUCCUGCUGCACUCCAGAUUGUUUCUGGUUGAAUUUUCUGGCACAUUCCCGAUUUAAAGAGGAUACUUUGUUAAUUUGUAACCAAAGAGCAACUACAAAUGAUGAGGUGUUCCACUGGGAUCGAUUGUCGGGCCUCUCCUUUUAAGUUCUCACACUAUCUACAGUGUGUAAUAACCUGAAAUAUCUCACUGAAAUCAUGAAGAUAUCCCACAUUACAUACAAUUUAACACAAAUAAUAAAAAAUAAAGAUGUUUUUCUGAUGAACCACAAAGGCAACAGACUGAUCUGGUCUGUGGGACGACUGUUCUGGACAUAAUUUCCUAUUGGUCAGUCCGCCCCUGUCUGCUGCUUACCAACAGAGGGUAAAACCUCCAGAGCUCUGCUGCUGUUGUUACCCACAUUCUCACCAAGACACUUCCCCUUGAGUUCUGAUUAAAAAUAACACGAAGCUGCAUAGUGGAACAAACACCUCUCAAACCACUAAAGUGUCAAUGUUUGUCUCUAGUAUCACCAUGUUGCACCAGUGUCCUCAGAACUGUCUUGGGCAAGAAGAUUAGUUUAUUUUUGCAUUUAAACUGAUACUAUUAAGACCCAAUCUGACCUGAACUGAACUCUUACUACAAAAAAAGGGUUUGUUCAUUAGAAAGAACGGAUUCCUCAACAUCAAUCAAUGGAUCGUGUGUGAUGUGAAAAAAAAUUACCAAAAUUCAAGCUUUAAACAGUCACUUUCCUCUACAUGUGUAAUUUAAAAUUAUGCC